This 2903-nucleotide ribosomal RNA is filed under the name Escherichia coli. RNAcentral's name for it is "23S ribosomal RNA". It matches the Rfam family "Bacterial large subunit ribosomal RNA". Lineage: Bacteria; Pseudomonadati; Pseudomonadota; Gammaproteobacteria; Enterobacterales; Enterobacteriaceae. The record is from RNAcentral.
GGUUAAGCGACUAAGCGUACACGGUGGAUGCCCUGGCAGUCAGAGGCGAUGAAGGACGUGCUAAUCUGCGAUAAGCGUCGGUAAGGUGAUAUGAACCGUUAUAACCGGCGAUUUCCGAAUGGGGAAACCCAGUGUGAUUCGUCACACUAUCAUUAACUGAAUCCAUAGGUUAAUGAGGCGAACCGGGGGAACUGAAACAUCUAAGUACCCCGAGGAAAAGAAAUCAACCGAGAUUCCCCCAGUAGCGGCGAGCGAACGGGGAGCAGCCCAGAGCCUGAAUCAGUGUGUGUGUUAGUGGAAGCGUCUGGAAAGGCGCGCGAUACAGGGUGACAGCCCCGUACACAAAAAUGCACAUACUGUGAGCUCGAUGAGUAGGGCGGGACACGUGGUAUCCUGUCUGAAUAUGGGGGGACCAUCCUCCAAGGCUAAAUACUCCUGACUGACCGAUAGUGAACCAGUACCGUGAGGGAAAGGCGAAAAGAACCCCGGCGAGGGGAGUGAAAAAGAACCUGAAACCGUGUACGUACAAGCAGUGGGAGCCUCUUUUAUGGGGUGACUGCGUACCUUUUGUAUAAUGGGUCAGCGACUUAUAUUCUGUAGCAAGGUUAACCGAAUAGGGGAGCCGAAGGGAAACCGAGUCUUAACUGGGCGUUAAGUUGCAGGGUAUAGACCCGAAACCCGGUGAUCUAGCCAUGGGCAGGUUGAAGGUUGGGUAACACUAACUGGAGGACCGAACCGACUAAUGUUGAAAAAUUAGCGGAUGACUUGUGGCUGGGGGUGAAAGGCCAAUCAAACCGGGAGAUAGCUGGUUCUCCCCGAAAGCUAUUUAGGUAGCGCCUCGUGAACUCAUCUCCGGGGGUAGAGCACUGUUUCGGCAAGGGGGUCAUCCCGACUUACCAACCCGAUGCAAACUGCGAAUACCGGAGAAUGUUAUCACGGGAGACACACGGCGGGUGCUAACGUCCGUCGUGAAGAGGGAAACAACCCAGACCGCCAGCUAAGGUCCCAAAGUCAUGGUUAAGUGGGAAACGAUGUGGGAAGGCCCAGACAGCCAGGAUGUUGGCUUAGAAGCAGCCAUCAUUUAAAGAAAGCGUAAUAGCUCACUGGUCGAGUCGGCCUGCGCGGAAGAUGUAACGGGGCUAAACCAUGCACCGAAGCUGCGGCAGCGACACUAUGUGUUGUUGGGUAGGGGAGCGUUCUGUAAGCCUGUGAAGGUGUGCUGUGAGGCAUGCUGGAGGUAUCAGAAGUGCGAAUGCUGACAUAAGUAACGAUAAAGCGGGUGAAAAGCCCGCUCGCCGGAAGACCAAGGGUUCCUGUCCAACGUUAAUCGGGGCAGGGUGAGUCGACCCCUAAGGCGAGGCCGAAAGGCGUAGUCGAUGGGAAACAGGUUAAUAUUCCUGUACUUGGUGUUACUGCGAAGGGGGGACGGAGAAGGCUAUGUUGGCCGGGCGACGGUUGUCCCGGUUUAAGCGUGUAGGCUGGUUUUCCAGGCAAAUCCGGAAAAUCAAGGCUGAGGCGUGAUGACGAGGCACUACGGUGCUGAAGCAACAAAUGCCCUGCUUCCAGGAAAAGCCUCUAAGCAUCAGGUAACAUCAAAUCGUACCCCAAACCGACACAGGUGGUCAGGUAGAGAAUACCAAGGCGCUUGAGAGAACUCGGGUGAAGGAACUAGGCAAAAUGGUGCCGUAACUUCGGGAGAAGGCACGCUGAUAUGUAGGUGAAGUCCCUCGCGGAUGGAGCUGAAAUCAGUCGAAGAUACCAGCUGGCUGCAACUGUUUAUUAAAAACACAGCACUGUGCAAACACGAAAGUGGACGUAUACGGUGUGACGCCUGCCCGGUGCCGGAAGGUUAAUUGAUGGGGUCAGCGCAAGCGAAGCUCUUGAUCGAAGCCCCGGUAAACGGCGGCCGUAACUAUAACGGUCCUAAGGUAGCGAAAUUCCUUGUCGGGUAAGUUCCGACCUGCACGAAUGGCGUAAUGAUGGCCAGGCUGUCUCCACCCGAGACUCAGUGAAAUUGAACUCGCUGUGAAGAUGCAGUGUACCCGCGGCAAGACGGAAAGACCCCGUGAACCUUUACUAUAGCUUGACACUGAACAUUGAGCCUUGAUGUGUAGGAUAGGUGGGAGGCUUAGAAGUGUGGACGCCAGUCUGCAUGGAGCCGACCUUGAAAUACCACCCUUUAAUGUUUGAUGUUCUAACGUUGACCCGUGAUCCGGGUUGCGGACAGUGUCUGGUGGGUAGUUUGACUGGGGCGGUCUCCUCCUAAAGAGUAACGGAGGAGCACGAAGGUUGGCUAAUCCUGGUCGGACAUCAGGAGGUUAGUGCAAUGGCAUAAGCCAGCUUGACUGCGAGCGUGACGGCGCGAGCAGGUGCGAAAGCAGGUCAUAGUGAUCCGGUGGUUCUGAAUGGAAGGGCCAUCGCUCAACGGAUAAAAGGUACUCCGGGGAUAACAGGCUGAUACCGCCCAAGAGUUCAUAUCGACGGCGGUGUUUGGCACCUCGAUGUCGGCUCAUCACAUCCUGGGGCUGAAGUAGGUCCCAAGGGUAUGGCUGUUCGCCAUUUAAAGUGGUACGCGAGCUGGGUUUAGAACGUCGUGAGACAGUUCGGUCCCUAUCUGCCGUGGGCGCUGGAGAACUGAGGGGGGCUGCUCCUAGUACGAGAGGACCGGAGUGGACGCAUCACUGGUGUUCGGGUUGUCAUGCCAAUGGCACUGCCCGGUAGCUAAAUGCGGAAGAGAUAAGUGCUGAAAGCAUCUAAGCACGAAACUUGCCCCGAGAUGAGUUCUCCCUGACUCCUUGAGAGUCCUGAAGGAACGUUGAAGACGACGACGUUGAUAGGCCGGGUGUGUAAGCGCAGCGAUGCGUUGAGCUAACCGGUACUAAUGAACCGUGAGGCUUAACCUU